Molecule: ribosomal RNA, 453 nt
Filed under: Triticum aestivum (bread wheat)
Lineage: Eukaryota; Viridiplantae; Streptophyta; Magnoliopsida; Poales; Poaceae
Description: partial small subunit ribosomal RNA
Source: RNAcentral
AUGGCAUCUAUAGCAUCUAUUCUGAGGAAAAUCAGUGUCCCCAUCAUCUCCUAUUACGAUGUCUCUGAUCUGUGUAACACAGCGCAGAGUUUAUCGAGGAUCUCCAAUAGUAUAUUGUAUAAUAGCAUGAGUGCUGAUAAACAGAUGGCGGUCCAAUAUGCUGAGGACCAGAGGACCAAGGAGGAGAUGACCGAUCAGAUGGGCAAAGGCAAAUCCAGCACCCACUUUCUUGAGAAGCAGAGGACCGAGGAAGGGGAAAAUUUUGUUUUUGCCACUCUAGAUUUUGCCAAUUUUCCUUAUGCAACUCUAGAUUUUGCCAAUUUUCCUUAUGCCACUCUAGAUUUUGACAUUUCAUUUUUGCCACUCUUAGUUUUUGACAAUUAUCACAAUUGCCAUUCCCGUGGCAAAAGCAAAAUUUUCAGAGUGGCAAUUGUGAUAAUUAUCAAAAGCUAA